UGAACACAAGGAGUGAAAGAAACCUUAUAACACACGUCACAUAUAGAAUCCCCGUGAACAUACAUACAGUGCAUAUGACAAAAAUACCCCAUCCUACUACCUAGACGCACUGUCUAAAUGGGCCGUGGUGUUUUAUUUGUCUCUCUAUAAAAACUCUGUGCUUGUGUGGCUCUUGUUUCUUUCGUUUAUUUCCUUCUUGCCGCCACUGGAUUCCCAAUUCCUUCUCGAACUUUCUUCGAACACAUGGAACGCAUCGUUGGCGGCAACUACAAGCUCGGCCGCAAGAUCGGAAGUGGAUCCUUCGGUGAAAUCUAUCUCGCUACGCAUAUUGAUACCUUUGAAAUCGUCGCCAUCAAAAUCGAGAACACUAAAACAAAGCAUCCACAACUAAUUUAUGAGGCGAAGCUCUACAAAAUUCUUCAAGGAGGAAGUGGCAUUCCAAGCAUAAAAUGGUUUGGAGUAGACGGUGAGGAUAACGUGCUUGCUAUUGAUUUAUUGGGGCCUAGUCUUGAGGAUCUUUUUGUGUAUUGUGGGAGGAAGUUCUCGUUGAAGACUGUGUUAAUGUUAGCUGAUCAAAUGAUUACUAGAAUAGAAUAUGUGCAUUCGAAAGGAUAUUUACAUAGGGAUAUUAAACCCGAUAACUUCCUCAUGGGACUUGGUCGGAAGGCUAACCAGGUUUACAUAAUUGAUUUUGGGCUAGCAAAACGGUAUAGGGACUCUGCAACCCAUCGCCACAUUCCUUACAGGGAGAACAAAAGCUUAACAGGGACUGCUCGAUAUGCAAGUUGCAAUACUCAUCUUGGGAUUGAGCUAAGUAGGCGGGAUGAUUUGGAAUCGCUAGGAUAUGUACUUCUCUACUUCCUUAGGGGAAGCCUUCCUUGGCAAGGCCUAAAGGCUGCAACAAAGAAACAGAAGUAUGAUAAAAUAUGUCAGAAGAAGGUAUCAACUCCUAUCGAGGUACUAUGCAAAUCUCAUCCCGUAGAGUUUGCUUCAUACUUCCAUUACUGCCACUCAUUGACGUUUGAUCAGCGGCCUGAUUAUGGAUUCUUGAAACGCCUAUUUAGAGACCUAUUUGCUCGGGAAGGUUAUGCAUUUGAUUUCGUUUUUGAUUGGACCAUUUUAAAGUACCAGCAAUCACAGAAGCAUGUAGUGCAGCCUUCCUUACCUCCUGUUCCUGGUGCAAUUAACCGUCAUGCAGUCCCGAUGGAUGUUGACAACCGUCAAGGGCUUGGUGAAGAGCGAAUUAGAUCCGGAAAUGCUACUGGUUCUGGUGGUAAAGUUCAGUUUAAAUCACCAGCUGGUAGAAACUUGAGUUCUGAAAAUCCUCUUAACAAGAAUAUUUUGGGUGAAGCAAAUAUGGCCUCUACUUCGUAUUCCCCGGCUGGUACUUCAAAAAGGAACCCCUUGAACCCUGCCUUGUCUGCUGAACCUUCCGACCGUGGACAUGAGCAAGGCAGUAAAGUUGGCCCAUCAAGUAGCUGGAUGUCAUCUCUGCAACGCAAUUCUUCUUCCAAAUGAAUGUCAAACAUGUAUUUCAAUUUCCAGGCUUGAAUAGUAUGAAGACCCCCAUAAAUGUGAAGCUGCAAAUGCAUGGUGGUUUGCUUGCAUCUUUCCCUAAGUGUUUGGUCAAGAAUAUUAAAGUGGUGUAUUCAUGGAGUUGGAGACUAUGAAUGUGCUGGAAGGUUACAUAUCUCCUAUUUGAGGCUUCUACAUGUUUUGCUUCUUUCCCGAGGUAACACAAUUUGACACUUACCCAGGUUAAUUUGUGAUGUCAUUCUAGGGAUGAAAGUGUAGAAUCUAGUUUUGUUUCAACUUUCAAGUGUGAUUCAAGGAAUUACUUUUCCACUCAAUAUUGUCUGAAGGAUGAAACAUGUCAGAAAUUUGCCUUUUAUGGAUGCCACUAUCUACAGGAACUUACUCAUGAUGCUGCUACUUCUGAUGAAUAAAUCAGCAUAAGCAUUCUGGAUGAGAAUGCGUUAAAGAAAUAUUUGUGUAACUGAGAUUGAUCGAGUCGAUAUGACUUCAAUGGUUAUGUGAAAAUAGUCAUUGAUUUCAGCUAGAGAAAAGGGAGUUUACCUAGCUAUGUUGCUUCAAUUUCUCUUUCUGGCCCAAAUGUUAAUAACUUGGAUUUGGAUUGCAGCAAGCAAGGAACAAUUGACUAGUGAGGAAUGGGUUGCUUUGUUUUUACUUGUUGCAAUUGUCUGCAAAGUAUCACCUACUGUGAAAGUUUGUAAAGCUCUUUGUGCUGAUACUGGUUGUCCAUUUGACAUCUUCAACAGUGGGGUCAUAAAAAUGAAUUCAUAUUUUGUCAAUUUCAAAUUGAAGCCGCACACAUGGAGACUCUUUGGAGGCAUUUCGUAAGCAAGAUUGUUUUCCACACUUCUAUCUAUUCCAAAUUCAAGGAAAUGAAAACCAAAAAUUUUUGAGUUUUAACAGGGGAUUGUGAAGAUUAUAAUACCAAUCCAUGUGAAAAUGCUUAUGUACCGAAUGCGUUGGUGUGUGAAGCAAAAAUUGUGCUUCAAACAAACUGAGAACAAUAUCAAUGAGGUGCACUUCCAGAAUUUGAUUAGUAGUUCAUUUCUAGAAACACUACAGCUGUGAUACUGAAGGCAUUAUACAGAAUAUAAUCCAAGAGGGCUGAAAGAUGGGCAAAGUUAUUUAAAAUAUGAAAGACGUCAAUUAAUGCUUGUUGAGCGUUUUUUCUGCACAAAAGAAGAAUGCUUCUUGAAACGUAUGGUCAAAGUAAAUGCCAGUAAAUUUUUUGCUGUGAAUGGCUGAAUGCUAAUGUUUGUGAAGUGUUAUUUUACACCUUUAAUAUUCCAUUUUCUACCAAUAUAAUGCUGUCGAGUUGAGAUGAGAAUCUAGGUAAAAUGAAUUAAGAUGUU
This is an RNA transcript of Trifolium pratense (red clover), 2885 nucleotides long. It is a transcript of the gene named casein kinase 1-like protein 3, with no coding region annotated. NCBI's taxonomy places the organism in Eukaryota, Viridiplantae, Streptophyta, Magnoliopsida, Fabales, Fabaceae. The transcript is spliced from 18 exons. The record is from RefSeq and is a predicted model, not a curated record.